CCUACGGGAGGCAGCAGUGAGGAAUAUUGGUCAAUGGGCGGAAGCCUGAACCAGCCAAGUCGCGUGAGGGAUUAAGGCCCUGCGGGUCGUAAACCUCUUUUGCCGGGGAGCAGAGGUACGGACGUGUCCGGGCCGGGAGAGUACCCGGAGAAAAAGCAUCGGCUAACUCCGUGCCAGCAGCCCCGGUAAUACGGAGGAUGCAGGCGUUAUCCGGUUUUAUGGGGUUAAAGGGGUGCGUGGGGGGGCAUUAAAGCCGGGGGUAAAAUGUCGGGGCUAAACCCCGGCCUGCCGUCGAAACUGGGUGCCUUGAGUGGGCGAGAGGUAUGCGGAAUGCGUGGUGUAGCGGUGAAAUGCAUAGAGAUCACGCAGAACCCCGAUUGCGAAGGCAGCAUACCGGCGCCCUACUGACGUUGAGGCACGAAAGUGCGGGUAUCGAACAGGAUUAGAUACCCUGGUAGUC
Molecule: ribosomal RNA, 460 nt
Filed under: uncultured bacterium
Lineage: Bacteria
Description: partial 16S ribosomal RNA
Rfam family: Bacterial small subunit ribosomal RNA
Source: RNAcentral